Molecule: non-coding RNA, 610 nt
Organism: Elaeis guineensis (African oil palm)
Lineage: Eukaryota; Viridiplantae; Streptophyta; Magnoliopsida; Arecales; Arecaceae
Source: RefSeq, a predicted model, not a curated record
CUUUGUUGUGUUGUAGGGGUCAAUCUCCUUCCAGGCUCUCUCACCACCUUCCAAGGAUUCUAUUAACUUUUCCAUUUCCUGCCUCAGAUUUCAAUCCAAGGGCGAAUGGCAGAAGAGGACCAGCAUCAGAUACACCGAUCCAAGCAGAACCAAAGACAGCUUAAUUCUAUGAAGAAAUCAUGGUCAACAGACUCUCUUGCAAGUCUCUCGGGAAGCAAACUUUGCCUCUGUGCUCCAACAAAGCACGCUGGCUCGUUCCGCUGCAAAUAUCAUCGACACCCAUCAAACCUGAACCAUAUUCCAAUGGCUCAUUCCAAGCUCUCCAGUUCAGCAGAAGCAGCAGAAACAGCAGAAGCCAAGUGAAUCACUCGAGUCCCUUGACACAGGCGACUCUGUCCAGUUGAUGGGGACUGAGUAACUGGUGUGAAACUAGGUAGUUUUUUCUGAGUCCCAAUUUGUGCAUAUCUUCCCAUUUUGAAAUAAAAUGAUGCAUGGAAAUGAGAGAUUGUGAAAUAAGUUUGGCUUCCAGCUUCAGAUUGUAAGGAUACACCUUCUUCAGUUGUAAACGAACACAUUACUUCAAGAGAUAAAUUUCCCUCUAUUGAGCAAA